This 468-nucleotide ribosomal RNA is filed under the name uncultured bacterium. RNAcentral describes it as "partial 16S ribosomal RNA". It matches the Rfam family "Bacterial small subunit ribosomal RNA", at positions 28 to 507 of the family's 1533-position model. The record is from RNAcentral.
GACGAACGCUGGCGGCGUGCUUAACACAUGCAAGUCGAACGGAAAGGCCCUGCUUUUGUGGGGUGCUCGAGUGGCGAACGGGUGAGUAACACGUGAGUAACCUGCCCUUGACUUUGGGAUAACUUCAGGAAACUGGGGCUAAUACCGGAUAGGAGCUCCUGCUCCAUGGUGGGGGUUGGAAAGUUUCGGCGGUUGGGGAUGGACUCGCGGCUUAUCAGCUUGUUGGUGGGGUAGUGGCUUACCAAGGCUUUGACGGGUAGCCGGCCUGGGAGGGUGACCGGCGACAUUGGGACUGAGAUACGGCCCAGAAUCCUACGGGAGGCAGCAGUGGGGAAUAUUGCACAAUGGGCGGAAGCCUGAUGCAGCAACGCCGCGUGCGGGAUGACGGCCUUCGGGUUGUAAACCGCUUUCGCCUGUGACGAAGCGUGAGUGACGGUAAUGGGUAAGGAAGCACCGGCUAACUACGUG